CUACGGGGUGCUCCAGUCGAGGAAAUUUUACAAUGCUCGCAAGAGUGAUAAAAUAAGCCAGAGUGUUUCUCCUAGAGAAACUUUUGUAUGCUGUAAAAAGGCAUACGAAUAAGGACUGGGCAAGACCGGUGCCAGCCGCCGCGGUAAUACCGGCGGUCCGAUGUCGCAUCCACAUUUAUUGGGUCUAAAACAUUCGUAGCUUGUUUUGUAAGUCUCUUGUGAAAUCCUAUAUCUCAAGUAUAGGGCGUGCAAGAGAUACUACUUUACUAGAGACCGGAAGACGUAAGGAGUACGAUUAAGGUAGCGGUAAAAUGUGUUAAUCUUAAUCGGACUAACAAUGGCGAAGGCACCUUACGAGUACGGAUCUGACAGUGAGGGAUGAAGGCUAGGGGCGCAAAACGGAUUAGAUACCCUAGUAGUC
Molecule: ribosomal RNA, 421 nt
Filed under: uncultured archaeon
Lineage: Archaea
Description: partial 16S ribosomal RNA
Rfam family: Archaeal small subunit ribosomal RNA
Source: RNAcentral